RNAcentral lists this non-coding RNA (224 nucleotides) under Clostridia bacterium. RNAcentral's name for it is "6S RNA". It matches the Rfam family "6S / SsrS RNA". Rfam says of the family: E. coli 6S RNA was the first non coding RNA to be sequenced, but its function was unknown until recently. It consists of 184 nucleotides that fold into an extended hairpin structure with a large single-stranded internal bulge. Lineage: Bacteria; Bacillati; Bacillota; Clostridia. The record is from RNAcentral.
UAAAUCCUGAUAUGUACGAAUCGCUUAUAAUAUUCAACCGACAUAAGUGAUAAGGGACCAACAAAACUCUUAAUAAUGUUAGACUUCCACAUCAUAUUUGAUGUAUUGGGCUAAUAGCAUAUGCUCUUAGUUUCAAUCAGAAGAAAACAGAGUUAAGAUGCGAAGGACCCACCUGCAUAUAGGCGGGUAUGAAUAAAUAAGCAUAUCGGCAUGUUGGGAGAGAA